UGCAAUAAACAUGGGAGUGCAGCUGUCUC
Molecule: non-coding RNA, 29 nt
Filed under: Homo sapiens (human)
Lineage: Eukaryota; Metazoa; Chordata; Mammalia; Primates; Hominidae
Source: RNAcentral